ACGGGAGGCAGCAGUGGGGAAUAUUGGACAAUGGGGGAAGCCCUGAUCCAGCGACGCCGCGUGAGUGAAGAAGUAUUUCGGUAUGUAAAGCUCUAUCAGUAGGGAAGAUAAUGACGGUACCUAACUAAGAAGCUCCGGCUAAAUACGUGCCAGCAGCCGCGGUAAUACGUAUGGAGCAAGCGUUAUCCGGAUUUACUGGGUGUAAAGGGGGCGUAGACGGCAUGGCAAGUCUGAUGUGAAAUCCCCGGGCUCAACCCGGGAACUGCAUUGGAAACUGUUAAGCUAGAGUGCAGGAGAGGUAAGUGGAAUUCCUAGUGUAGCGGUGAAAUGCGUAGAUAUUAGGAGGAACACCAGUGGCGAAGGCGGCUUACUGGACUGUAACUGACGUUGAGGCUCGAAAGCGUGGGGAGCAAACAGGAUUAGAUACCCUGGUA
RNAcentral lists this ribosomal RNA (434 nucleotides) under uncultured Lachnospiraceae bacterium. Its description in RNAcentral is "partial 16S ribosomal RNA". It matches the Rfam family "Bacterial small subunit ribosomal RNA", at positions 341 to 792 of the family's 1533-position model. Lineage: Bacteria; Bacillati; Bacillota; Clostridia; Lachnospirales; Lachnospiraceae. The record is from RNAcentral.